CACGCCCGGGGCGUCCCGANNUCUCAUCGCGAGAUGNGGGCGCACCCAGAGCGUACACGCUGGGACCCGAAAGAUGGUGAACUAUGCCUGGUCAGGACGAAGUCAGGNNNGGAAACCCUGAUGGAGGUCCGUAGCGAUUCUGACGUGCAAAUCGAUCGUCGGAACUGGGUAUAGGGGCGAAAGACUAAUCGAACCAUCUAGUAGCUGGUUCCCUCCGAAGUUUCCCUCAGGAUAGCUGGCGCUCGCNUNNNUCGCGAGUCUCAUCCGGUAAAGCGAAUGAUUAGAGGCAUUGGGGUCGAAACGGCCUCAACC
Molecule: ribosomal RNA, 312 nt
Filed under: Sebasthetops omaliniformis
Lineage: Eukaryota; Metazoa; Arthropoda; Insecta; Coleoptera; Hydraenidae
Description: partial large subunit ribosomal RNA
Rfam family: Eukaryotic large subunit ribosomal RNA
Source: RNAcentral